GAACCAUCCAGAACAAAGUGCCCGGGGCCUGGCCAGGGAAGGGAGCUUUGCUCUCCCCGCUGUCUGUGGACAGAGGACAAUCCCAGCUGGGGGCAGGUGGCCCCAGGUGCAGUCACGUAUGGCACAGCCGGUCCUCACACGUCCUGGGGUGGGACGUGCCAAGAGGUUUAGGAAGCAGUGGUGCCCAGGGCUUCACAGGCAGGUGAGUCACUGGGCCUGCACCGGGGACGGCGGGGUCAGACGCAGGCCGGGGCGUGUCUUGGCCGGAGCUAAGCACAGCUAUGAAUCAGG
Molecule: long non-coding RNA, 291 nt
Filed under: Marmota monax (woodchuck)
Lineage: Eukaryota; Metazoa; Chordata; Mammalia; Rodentia; Sciuridae
Source: RNAcentral